Molecule: transfer RNA, 69 nt
Filed under: Marmota monax (woodchuck)
Lineage: Eukaryota; Metazoa; Chordata; Mammalia; Rodentia; Sciuridae
Description: tRNA.Ala
Source: RNAcentral
GGGUAUAUCUCAGAGGUAGAGCACUUGCCUAGCAUGUAGGAGGCCCUGGGUUCCAUCCCCAGCAACACA